AUUGAACGCUGGCGGCAUGCCUUACACAUGCAAGUCGAACGGUAACAGGUCUUCGGAUGCUGACGAGUGGCGAACGGGUGAGUAAUACAUCGGAACGUGCCUAGUAGUGGGGGAUAACUACUCGAAAGAGUGGCUAAUACCGCAUGAGAUCUACGGAUGAAAGCAGGGGAUCGCAAGACCUUGUGCUACUAGAGCGGCAGAUGGCAGAUUAGGUAGUUGGUGGGAUAAAAGCUUACCAAGCCGACGAUCUGUAGCUGGUCUGAGAGGACGAUCAGCCACACUGGGACUGAGACACGGCCCAGACUCCUACGGGAGGCAGCAGUGGGGAAUUUUGGACAAUGGGCGAAAGCCUGAUCCGGCAAUGCCGCGUGCAGGAUGAAGGCCUUCGGGUUGUAAACUGCUUUUGUACGGAACGAAAAGCCCCGGGUUAAUACCCUGGGGUCAUGACGGUACCGUGAGAAUAAGCACCGGCUAACUACGUGCCAGCCGCCGCGGUAA
This 498-nucleotide ribosomal RNA is filed under the name uncultured bacterium. RNAcentral's name for it is "partial 16S ribosomal RNA". It matches the Rfam family "Bacterial small subunit ribosomal RNA", at positions 30 to 523 of the family's 1533-position model. The record is from RNAcentral.